This is a long non-coding RNA of Strigops habroptila (Kakapo), 1381 nucleotides long. The record is from Ensembl. Lineage: Eukaryota; Metazoa; Chordata; Aves; Psittaciformes; Psittacidae.
UUUUUUCUAGCAUCAUCAUAGCACUAUUCUUGAAUGAACGCAACUUAAUUCACUAGGGGAAGGGAUAUUAAACACUGUAACCUACUGCUGUCAAAGGCUGCAGUAAAGGUAGGAAAAAAGGGAACAGAAAGCCUCAGCUAUUUUUACUAUGAAGAAAGUUCACUCCUAAUGUAUGUCUGAUUUUUUUUGGUUCCUUGACUAUUAGCUGCUUGCAGCUUCUAUUGUCUGGCCCCAUAGGUCUACAUACAUGGUCAGGUAAUCUCCAACUGCCAACAGCUUUAUUUAUUUUAAUACAACUUGAAGAAUAAAUAGCUCAUAUAAUACUUUGGAGCACAGCAGACUUCAUGGGGAGAGACAUCAGCCGGGCCUUCUACUUCAUUGUUGUCCCCUCCUUCCUCUAUUCCUGUUGUGCUUUUUUGAGUGACUGAGCUGGCUUUAUUUCCUCCCUUCAAACACCACCAAAAAAACCCCAAACAAAUCAAACUUAAAACCACAGGAAAACCUGAAGUGACAGCUCAAGCAUAAACUCUGAAGUUACAGCGUACUGUAGCUACAUUAUUACAGUUAGCAUGGAAAACAGCAAUGGUUUCACUAAAAUUUGGUCACUUGCACAGUGGAAGUUGGAAGAAAAAGCCCUGCUUCCCUUGCCAAGCCAGGGCAAACGCCAGACUGCUGGUUUCAUGGGUGACUGUUCUGGUUCCACAGAUGAAAAACAGCGCGUUGCUGCAGGAUCGGUCCUGAACACCUGCCUUAACAGGAUGGCACAGUCCCACUCAGAGUUCCUCUGCUCUCACUGCCCUGACAGCACGGAACGGGGAGGGUGCGCCCGGGUGCAGGAGUGGCAGUGACAGGACAGUCAUCAGGCACGUCCCCUGCACAAACCUGAGAGAAACACGUGCUAGGAGAGGACUCUGGUGGCUGGAAGGGCAGUCAGCGUCUUGUGCAAGGUUUGGUAUGCCUUACAGAGAAGCCAGAGUGCAGCCUUUGCCAACCUGGACACCUGCAGAAUGUAGUGGCAGCCAGAUUAAAGGCAAUAGGAAAAGAAAAGGCAGGUUAAACAUCCAAACCUACCUGUGGUUAUAUACUCCUGCAGCUGCUGCUGCUGUUAUUGUCACCAGGUCACUGCCACUGCAAGCAGCUGCCAGCCCUGAAAUAACCUUGCAAAACUUUAUGUAUAUCUAACAUAAGAAAAGUCUGCUCACCUGCUUCCUUACCUGAAUAACAACAGUAGAAAAAAAUACUUAUCUACACACACAUACAAAAAGUCUUUACAGGAGAGGGAGGAGAUACCCCAAAGCCUCUCGCUGACUUGGCAGUUCAAGCCUGUAUUAGUUCUUUAAAAAAGUAUUUCAAAUCGAGCUGCAGUUGAGCAGCUUGGCAC